GGAGUUGUGGCUCAGUGGUAGAGCACUCGCCUUGCAUGUGCAAGACUCUAGGUUCGAUCCUCAGCACCA
Molecule: transfer RNA, 69 nt
Filed under: Urocitellus parryii (Arctic ground squirrel)
Lineage: Eukaryota; Metazoa; Chordata; Mammalia; Rodentia; Sciuridae
Also listed under: 2 other names
Description: Spermophilus parryii (Arctic ground squirrel) tRNA
Rfam family: tRNA
About the family: Transfer RNA (tRNA) molecules are approximately 80 nucleotides in length. Their secondary structure includes four short double-helical elements and three loops (D, anti-codon, and T loops).
Source: Rfam by way of RNAcentral